AGGAACCAGAACCUGGUGUUCAUAGAGAUCUAGAUGUUCAUAGAGGUCUAGAUAUUCAUAGAGGUCUAGAUGUUCAUAGAGGUCUAGAUGUUCAUAGAGGUCUAGAUGUUCAUAAAGGUCUAGAUGUUCAUAGAGGUCUAGAUGUUGGUGUUCAUAGAGGUCUAGAUGUUCAUAGAGGUCUAGAUGUUCAUAGAGGUCUAGAUGUUCAUAGAGGUCUAGAUGUUCAUAGAGGUCUAGGUGUUCAUAGAGGUCUAGGUGUUCAUAGAGGUCUAGGUGUUCAUAGAGGUCUAGAUGUUCAUAGAGGUCUAGGUGUUCAUAGAGGUCUAGAUGUUCAUAGAGGUCUAGAUGUUCAUAGAGGUCUAGAUGUUCAUAGAGGUCUAGAUGUUCAUAGAGGUCUAGAUGUUCAUAGAGGUCUAGGUGUUCAUAGAGGUCUAGGUGUUCAUAGAGGUCUAGGUGUUCAUAGAGGUCUAGGUGUUCAUAGAGGUCUAGAUGUUCAUAGAGGUCUAGGUGUUCAUAGAGGUCUAGAUGUUCAUAGAGGUCUAGAUGUUCAUAGAG
Molecule: long non-coding RNA, 555 nt
Organism: Amphiprion ocellaris (clown anemonefish)
Lineage: Eukaryota; Metazoa; Chordata; Actinopteri; Pomacentridae
Source: Ensembl